AACUGAAAACUUUUAAUCUGAGCUGUUCAUCAAAUUGUAUGGCUGAGAUUUCUUUCCUCUUAUUUUCAGACAUUACUGAAUUUCUCUCUCCUCCUUAAUUUUCACGUUAUUUUCUCUCUCCUCUCUAUUCUCUCCUCUUUCGUACUUUCUCUCUCUUCAACUAGCUUCUCUGUUACUCUCUCUACUGUGUUAAGAGCAAAUUUUGGCGAAAAAACUCUAGAUAUCACAAUUCAGGGUGCAACAAGGAUUUUCAUUCGAUUUGGAUUAGAUUAUAUUCCUAUGGUGAGAAAUAGAGGUGGUGCGACUUUUAAAAAAAGGAGGGACCUUUGCAAUAUUGUCUUCUAUGUUUGAUCUCCUGAUUGAUGUUCUUACUUUGUAAGCUGCUUGUUUGUGUAAUUGCAUUUUGCUGUAUUAAAGUUGCUAAUGGAGAUGCAUCUGAGAACAAGAAAAAGAAGCAGAAGAAGAAAAAGAAAAGAAAGACAGAGAAGGAUGAAGAGGUUUCAAAAAUAGAGCAAAAUGCAAAUGCAGAAGCUAAGAUAAAGUAGUCAAGCAAUCUAAGGAGAAGCCUGCCAGAGUUAAAACCUUUUUUACUACCCUUUAUUUUUGUAUACAGUGACCUCUGUGUAAAUAUGGUCAAAAUUGAAAUAGUGACCCUAUUUUUGUAUAUAGUGACUUUUAUGUAAAUGUUGUCAAAAUUGAUAUAAUUAUCUUAUUUUUAUA
This is a long non-coding RNA of Chenopodium quinoa (quinoa), 720 nucleotides long. RefSeq lists it as uncharacterized. The transcript is spliced from 2 exons. Lineage: Eukaryota; Viridiplantae; Streptophyta; Magnoliopsida; Caryophyllales; Amaranthaceae. The record is from RefSeq and is a predicted model, not a curated record.